UUCGCUGCUUGCCGAAAACUUCAAACUACAAUCUAUAAGACCUUUGUUGAUUUGUCUUAUGUAAACAAAUAAAGAAAUCAACA
Molecule: non-coding RNA, 83 nt
Filed under: unclassified sequences
Description: RAGATH-27 RNA
Rfam family: RAGATH-27 RNA
About the family: Clostridiales (Firmicutes). Nearby to self-cleaving ribozyme genes
Source: Rfam by way of RNAcentral